GACGAACGCUGGCGGCGUGCCUAAUACAUGCAAGUUGAGCGAUAAAGAUUGGUGCUUGCACCAAUUUGAAGAGCAGCGAACGGGUGAGUAACGCGUGGGGAAUCUGCCUUUGAGCGGGGGACAACAUUUGGAAACGAAUGCUAAUACCGCAUAACAACUUUAAACAUAAGAUUUAAGUUUGAAAGAUGCAAUUGCAUCACUCAAAGAUGAUCCCGCGUUGUAUUAGCUAGUUGGUGAGGUACAGGCUCACCAAGGCGAUGAUACAUAACCGACCUGAGAGGGUGCGAGGGCACGUCGGGAUGAGGAGACGGCCCAAAACACUACGGGAGGGACAAGGAGGGAACCUUCGGCAAAGGCCGAAAGGCGGACCAAGCAACGCUGGGUGAGUGAAGAAGGUUUUCGGAUCGUAAAACUGUGUUGGUAGAGAAGAACGUUGGUGAGUGUGGAAAGCUCAGAAAGUGACGGUAACUACCCAGAAAGGGACGGCUAACUACGUG
RNAcentral lists this ribosomal RNA (497 nucleotides) under uncultured bacterium. RNAcentral describes it as "partial 16S ribosomal RNA". It matches the Rfam family "Bacterial small subunit ribosomal RNA", at positions 28 to 507 of the family's 1533-position model. The record is from RNAcentral.